CGGAGGAAAAAAGAAACCCAACCCGGGAUUGCCUCAGUAACGGCGAGUGAAGCGGCAAGAGCUCAAAUUUGAAAGCUGGCCCCUUCGGGGUCCGCGUUGUAAUUUGCAGAGGAUGCUUCGGGUGCGGCCCCUGUCUAAGUGCCCUGGAACGGGCCGUCAGAGAGGGUGAGAAUCCCGUCUUGGGCAGGGUGCCCGUGCCCGUGUGAAGCUCCUUCGACGAGUCGAGUUGUUUGGGAAUGCAGCUCUAAAUGGGUGGUAAAUUUCAUCUAAAGCUAAAUACCGGCCGGAGACCGAUAGCGCACAAGUAGAGUGAUCGAAAGAUGAAAAGCACUUUGAAAAGAGAGUUAAACAGCACGUGAAAUUGUUGAAAGGGAAGCGCUUGCGACCAGACUCGGCCCCGGGGUUCAGCCAGCACUCGUGCUGGUGUACUUCCCCGGGGGCGGGCCAGCGUCGGUUUGGGCGGCCGGUCAAAGGCCCCAGGAAUGUAUCGCCCUCCGGGGUUGUCUUAUAGCCUGGGGUGCAAUGCGGCCAGCCCGGACCGAGGAACGCGCUUCGGCACGGACGCUGGCGUAAUGGUCGCAAACGACCCGUCUUGAAACACGGACCAAGGAGUCUAACAUCUACGCGAGUGUUCGGGUGUCAAACCCGUACGCGCAGUGAAAGCGAACGGAGGUGGGAGCCCCCCCGGGGCGCACCAUCGACCGAUCCUGAUGUCUUCGGAUGGAUUUGAGUAAGAGCGUAGCUGUGGGGACCCGAAAGAUGGUGAACUAUGCCUGAAUAGGGCGAAGCCAGAGGAAACUCUGGUGGAGGCUCGCAGCGGUUCUGACGUGCAAAUCGAUCGUCAAAUUUGGGUAU
Molecule: ribosomal RNA, 855 nt
Filed under: Aspergillus rugulosus
Lineage: Eukaryota; Fungi; Ascomycota; Eurotiomycetes; Eurotiales; Aspergillaceae
Description: LSU rRNA
Rfam family: Eukaryotic large subunit ribosomal RNA
Source: RNAcentral